Molecule: long non-coding RNA, 462 nt
Organism: Acipenser ruthenus (sterlet)
Lineage: Eukaryota; Metazoa; Chordata; Actinopteri; Acipenseriformes; Acipenseridae
Exons: 3
Source: RefSeq, a predicted model, not a curated record
UUGACGAAGUGCCGUCAGACUGAACACAGUUCGCUGUUGUCGGCAGUGGCCGUUUGUUUUUACGGAUCAAACUCGUAACACCAUUUACCUGGCGGAAGAAUGAACGUCUUUUUUAAAGAUCUCUCAAUCAAAGUUCUGGGCGGGUCUGUAAGGGCUGCGUCAGCAGUUAUUCCAGGACCGGUUUUACUUGGCAUCGCUGCUUUCGUAUUCGGGGGAAUACUAAUCUAUAAAUAUAUGGAUGAAGAAGGAAAACGUAAAACUGCGUAACAUAAAUAUUAGCUGACCCCUGACCCAAGAUGGGAGUCGCUGUCUCGAGCUGCUUCAGAAGGAUGUCUUUCUCCUCAACAGGAAAUCACAAGAAAUCACUGAAAGACUAGUAGCUGCAGUUUCACUGUCUUCUUUAAAAAACUGUAUCUGUUUGAGUUCUCUUAAUGAUCAUGAAAUAAACAAACAGCAAGACUC